This 816-nucleotide ribosomal RNA is filed under the name Frankliniella occidentalis (western flower thrips). Its description in RNAcentral is "eukaryotic LSU rRNA". It matches the Rfam family "Eukaryotic large subunit ribosomal RNA", at positions 1 to 620 of the family's 3401-position model. The record is from RNAcentral. Lineage: Eukaryota; Metazoa; Arthropoda; Insecta; Thysanoptera; Thripidae.
GACCUCAGUUCAGGUGAGAUUACCGGCUGAAUUUAAGCAUAUUACUAAGCCGAGGAAAAGAAACUAACAAGGAUUCCCCUAGUAGCAGCGAGCGAACAGGGAAGAGCCCAGCGCUGAAUCCCACGGGCCUCGCUCGGCGGGAAAUGUAGCGUUUGGGAGGGCCCGUCAACACGGCGACUCGCUCACUGGUUCAAGUCCAACUUGAAUGGGGCCACACAGAGGGUGACAGGCCCGUAGAGCAGGAGCGGUUGUCGUGUGGGUCUCUCCUUAGAGUCGGUUUGCUUGAGAGUGCAGACUUAAGUGGGUGGUAAACUCCAUCUAAGGCUAAAUAUGACCACGAGACCGAUAGCACACAAGUACCGUGAGGGAAAGGUGAAAAGAACUUUGAAGAGAGAGUUCAAGAGUACGUGAAACUGAAGUGGUGUAAACGGACGAGUUCGAAAAGUCCGAAUGGUGAGAUUCAAGCUUACCGUGCCGGUGGCCCUCGGGUUCAGAUGGCGUCGUCAGCUCGGGCUUCGGUUCGGGUCAUACGGCGUCACUCGUCCUGGGGGUAUCUGUCUGGUGCGGUGGGCUGCACUUCUCGCCUAGUAGGACGUCGCGACCCGUUGGGAUGUUCCGUUCACUGGCCCCUGGUGGAGCCCGCGCCGGAGCGUGGCCUUGUGCCGCGUUGCUGUUUGCACGGACCCGGGGUGACCUGAUCGGCGCCCGACGGUAUCAAAGCUUGGGAAGAGGCCGCACAGAGGAUGCGUUCGAUGGCCGUUUCGGCCUACACUCGGACAGGCCUGCACCCGGUCAGCGGCGCUUCUGCUUUCGAUA